Molecule: non-coding RNA, 200 nt
Filed under: Algoriphagus iocasae
Lineage: Bacteria; Pseudomonadati; Bacteroidota; Cytophagia; Cytophagales; Cyclobacteriaceae
Source: RNAcentral
UUUGCCGUGAGGCAUGCAGUGAAGCCCGCCUCCCGGAGGGCAGGUAAGCCAGACUGCGGUGUCUGUACUGAAGAACAUGAACCACAUACGGAGGCUAUGAGGUCGGAUGAGGUAACACAUGCUGCCGAAGUCCCAACUUUCCGAAAGGGAGGAAGUACCAAAAUAGUAGAUGUGGCAGCGAUAGGCACAAGGAUAUUCAC